GACGAACGCUGGCGGCGUGCUUAACACAUGCAAGUCGAACGGAAAGGCCUGGCGCUUGCUGCGUGUACUCGAGUGGCACACGGGUGUGUAACAUGUGUGUGAUCCGCCUUGCUCUUGGGUAACAUCUUGGGAAACUGGGUCUAAUACCGGAGAAGCCCGCUCUGUAGUGUGAGGUGUGGAAAGUUUCGUCGGUUCAAGAUGAGCUCGCGGCUUAUCAGCUUGUUGGUGGGGUAGUGGCUUACCAAGGCUUCGACGGGUAGCCGGCCUGAGAGGGUGUACGGCCACAUUGGGACUGAGAUACGGCCCAGACUCCUACGGGAGGCAGCAGUGGGGAAUAUUGCACAAUGGGCGGAAGCCUGAUGCAGCGACGCCGCGUGCGGGAUGAAGGCCUUCGGGUUGUAAACCGCUUUCGCCUGGGACGAAGCGUGAGUGACGGUAACGGUAAAAGAAGCACCGGCUAACUACGUG
Molecule: ribosomal RNA, 468 nt
Filed under: uncultured bacterium
Lineage: Bacteria
Description: partial 16S ribosomal RNA
Rfam family: Bacterial small subunit ribosomal RNA
Source: RNAcentral